CUUUUCUGCAAAACCAAAGUAUUUCCAGAAAAUGUCUUCGUUUGAAAUAACACAAACCUGAUUCAGAUUUUUGUCCCUACCACUGGGAAUAUAUGUGUAAAAAGAGGAUCUGUGUGUCAAGAGUCUCUUCUGGCCCCACUGUUCGUCAUACGUGUGAAAUCAUAACCCACUGAUUUCUUUCUUUCUUUUGUCUUGGUGGGACAUCGAAAUAAUUUCUUCAGCGAUCUAUUGAUAAUGCAAACGCUGUUUGGGGACAGAUAGGAAGGAAGAGAGAAAUUCCAAAUGUGAGCAGAAAAUCUGUGAUGGUUCCUCCAAGGGCAUCCCCUCAGCCUUGUCUGCUGGCUCGGGAGAAAUGAGGCAGAGCAGACUUACUGGUCUCAGUUUUUCCUGCCAUAUCAUUGUCUUUGGUUCAUGAUAAACUCUGCUAAGCUGAUCAGAGAUUGAAGGAGCUCCCUGCUGCCUAGUCAAGCAAUCAUUAGCCUACGAAGAGGGUCGUUUCAGCCGUCCUACCUUCCAG
This 517-nucleotide long non-coding RNA is filed under the name Crocodylus porosus (Australian saltwater crocodile). Its description in RNAcentral is "lncRNA (ENSCPRG00005000936.1)". The record is from RNAcentral. Lineage: Eukaryota; Metazoa; Chordata; Crocodylia; Crocodylidae.